GCUUACGGCCAUACCGCCCUGAACACGCCCGAUCUCGUCUGAUCUCGGCAGCCAAGCAGGGCAGGGCCGGGCCUGGUCAGUACUUGGAUGGGUGACCGCCCGGGAAUACCGGGUGCUGUAAGCU
Pelmatolapia mariae (spotted tilapia) is the source of this 124-nucleotide ribosomal RNA. NCBI's taxonomy places the organism in Eukaryota, Metazoa, Chordata, Actinopteri, Cichliformes, Cichlidae. The record is from RefSeq and is a predicted model, not a curated record.